GACGAACGCUGGCGGCGUGCCUAAUACAUGCAAGUAGAACGCUGAAGGAGGAGCUUGCUUCUCUGGAUGAGUUGCGAACGGGUGAGUAACGCGUAGGUAACCUGCCUGGUAGCGGGGGAUAACUAUUGGAAACGAUAGCUAAUACCGCAUAAGAGUAGAUGUUGCAUGACAUUUGCUUAAAAGGUGCAAUUGCAUCACUACCAGAUGGACCUGCGUUGUAUUAGCUAGUUGGUGGGGUAACGGCUCACCAAGGCGACGAUACAUAGCCGACCUGAGAGGGUGAUCGGCCACACUGGGGCUGAGACACGGCCCAGACUCCUACGGGAGGCAGCAGUAGGGAAUCUUCGGCAAUGGACGGAAGUCUGACCGAGCAACGCCGCGUGAGUGAAGAAGGUUGUCGGAUCGUAAAGCUCUGUUGUAAGAGAAGAACGAGUGUGAGAGUGGAAAGUUCACACUGUGACGGUAUCUUACCAGAAAGGGACGGCUAACUACGUG
This 495-nucleotide ribosomal RNA is filed under the name uncultured bacterium. Its description in RNAcentral is "partial 16S ribosomal RNA". It matches the Rfam family "Bacterial small subunit ribosomal RNA", at positions 28 to 507 of the family's 1533-position model. The record is from RNAcentral.